This 497-nucleotide ribosomal RNA is filed under the name uncultured bacterium. RNAcentral describes it as "partial 16S ribosomal RNA". It matches the Rfam family "Bacterial small subunit ribosomal RNA", at positions 28 to 507 of the family's 1533-position model. The record is from RNAcentral.
GAUGAACGCUGGCGGCGUGCCUAAUACAUGCAAGUCGAGCGAACAGACGAGGAGCUUGCUCCUCUGACGUUAGCGGCGGACGGGUGAGUAACACGUGGAUAACCUACCUAUAAGACUGGGAUAAUUUCGGGAAACCGGAGCUAAUACCGGAUAAUAUAUUGAACCGCAUGGUUCAAUAGUGAAAGACGGUUUUGCUGUCACUUAUAGAUGGAUCCGCGCCGCAUUAGCUAGUUGGUAAGGUAACGGCUUACCAAGGCAACGAUGCGUAGCCGACCUGAGAGGGUGAUCGGCCACACUGGAACUGAGACACGGUCCAGACUCCUACGGGAGGCAGCAGUGUGGAAUCUUCCGCCAUUGGCGAAAGCCUGACGUAGCAACGCCGCGUGAGUGAUGAUGGUCUUCGGAUCGUAAAACUCUGUUAUUAGGGAAGAACAAAUGUGUAAGUAACUAUGCACGUCUUGACGGUACCUAAUCAGAAAGCCACGGCUAACUCCGUG